GUUGGCUUGGAAGCAGCCAUUCAUUUAAAGAGUGCGUAACAGCUCACUAGUCGAGUGCUUUGGCAUGGAUAAUAAUCGGGCAUAAGCUAUUUACCGAAGCUGUGGGAUGUUUAAGACAUCGGUAGGGGAGCAUUCCAGCGACGUUGAAGGUAAGAGGACAACUCUUGCUGGAGUUUCUGGAAAAGCAAAUGUAGGUAUAAGUAACGAUAAAGGAGGUGAGAAACCUCCUCGCCGAAAGACUAAGGUUUCCUGAUCAACGCUAAUCGGAUCAGGGUUAGUCGGGGCCUAAGGGGAAGCCGAACGGCGCACCCGAUGGAAGAACCGGUUAAUAUUCCGGUACUAAUUAUGUGAGCGAUGUGGAGACGGAGAUGUGACGGUCCUGCCAGCUGACGGAAUAGCUGGUUAAAGGGUGUAGGUGUUGAUUGGGGUAGGCAAAUCCGCCCUGAGAGCUGAACCUGACAGUACUCUGAGUGCUUGCACAAGGAGAUAUGGACAAAGUAACGGUGCUCCCAAGAAAAUCCGCUAAGCAUAUUGCAUGAUUACCCGUACCACAAACCGACACAGGUGGUUGGGUUGAGUAUACUAAGGCGCUCGAGUGAUUCGCGGUUAAGGAACUAGGCAAAAUAGUCCUGUAACUUCGGAAUAAAGGACGCUCACAGUGAAGGCUGUGAGCCGCAGAGAAUAGGCCCAGGCGACUGUUUAACAAAAACACAUGGCUAUGCUAAAUCGAAAGAUACAGUAUAUAGCCUGACACCUGCCCGGUGCUGGAAGGUUAAGAGGAGAUGUCAUCGCAAGAGAAGCAUUGAAUUGAAGCCCCAGUAAACGGCGGCCGUAACUAUAACGGUCCUAAGGUAGCGAAAUUCCUUGUCGGGUAAGUUCCGACCUGCACGAAUGGUGUAACGAUCUGGGCACUGUCUCAGCCACGAGCUCGGUGAAAUUGUAGUAUCGGUGAAGAUGCCGAUUACCCGCAAUGGGACGAAAAGACCCUGUGAACCUUUACUAUAACUUCGUAUUGACUUUGAGUAAGUAAUGUGUAGGAUAGGUGGGAGGCUGUGAAGCUGGCACGCUAGUGUUGGUGGAGCCGUUGUUGAAAUACCACCCUUUGCUUACUUGGAGCCUAACUUCUGAAAAAGAGUAAGAAGGACAUUGCGUGGUGGGUAGUUUGACUGGGGUGGUCGCCUCCAAAAGAGUAACGGAGGCUUUCAAAGGUACCCUCAGCACGCUUGGUAACCGUGCGUAGAGUGUAAUGGCAUAAGGGUGCUUGACUGUGAGACCUACAAGUCGAUCAGGUGCGAAAGCAGGACAUAGUGAUCCGGUGGUUCCGUAUGGAAGGGCCAUCGCUCAUAGGAUAAAAGGUACUCCGGGGAUAACAGGCUAGUCUCCCCCAAGAGCUCACAUCGACGGGGAGGUUUGGCACCUCGAUGUCGGCUCGUCACAUCCUGGGGCUGGAGAAGGUCCCAAG
RNAcentral lists this ribosomal RNA (1462 nucleotides) under human oral metagenome. RNAcentral describes it as "bacterial LSU rRNA". It matches the Rfam family "Bacterial large subunit ribosomal RNA", at positions 1100 to 2569 of the family's 2925-position model. The record is from RNAcentral.